Molecule: non-coding RNA, 263 nt
Organism: Hydra vulgaris (swiftwater hydra)
Lineage: Eukaryota; Metazoa; Cnidaria; Hydrozoa; Anthoathecata; Hydridae
Source: RefSeq, a predicted model, not a curated record
CAAGAAGAAGUAAUUCCAUCUAAUUGGAUUAGUGAUAAAACUGUUUGUCGGCUUCCAGAGUAUUUUCGAAAAGUUAUAUGGCCUCCAUGGAUAUGAUGGGCAAAGAUGGAAAAAUAUGAACACUAAUCUAUAUGACGUUGAAAAAGAUAUACCUUCAUAAGUUGUAACACUUUUCCAUUCAUUAUUUAUUUUUUAAAUCUUCCCUUUUUGUUGUUUUUUUUAUAUAUUUUUUUAUUUACAGCUUCUUAUAUUGUAUUCAAUGG